RNAcentral lists this ribosomal RNA (433 nucleotides) under uncultured bacterium. RNAcentral's name for it is "partial 16S ribosomal RNA". It matches the Rfam family "Bacterial small subunit ribosomal RNA", at positions 29 to 507 of the family's 1533-position model. The record is from RNAcentral.
AACGAACGCUGGCGGCAGGCCUAACACAUGCAAGUCGAGCGGACCCUUCGGGGUUAGCGGCGGACGGGUGAGUAGCGCGUGGGAAUAUGCCCUUCUCUACGGAAUAGUCCUGGGAAACUGGGGGUAAUACCGUAUACGCCCUUUGGGGGAAAGAUUUAUCGUGGAAGGAUUAGCCCGCGUUGGAUUAGGUAGUUGGUGGGGUAAUGGCCUACCAAGCCGACGAUCCAUAGCUGGUUUGAGAGGAUGAUCAGCCACACUGAGACUGAGACACGGCCCAGACUCCUACGGGAGGCAGCAGUGGGGAAUCUUAGACAAUGGCGGCAACCCUGAUCUAGCCAUGCCGCGUGAGUGAUGAAGGCCUUAGGGUAGUAAAGCUCUUUCAGCUGGGAAGAUAAUGACGGUACCAGCAGAAGAAGCCCCGGCUAACUCCGUG